RNAcentral lists this ribosomal RNA (446 nucleotides) under Pseudomonas sp. MF2857. Its description in RNAcentral is "partial 23S ribosomal RNA". It matches the Rfam family "Bacterial large subunit ribosomal RNA", at positions 1 to 495 of the family's 2925-position model. Lineage: Bacteria; Pseudomonadati; Pseudomonadota; Gammaproteobacteria; Pseudomonadales; Pseudomonadaceae. The record is from RNAcentral.
GGUCAAGUGAAGAAGCGCAUACGGUGGAUGCCUUGGCAGUCAGAGGCGAUGAAAGACGUGGUAGCCUGCGAAAAGCUUCGGGGAGUCGGCAAACAGACUUUGAUCCGGAGAUGUCUGAAUGGGGGAACCCAGCCAUCAUAAGAUGGUUAUCUUGUACUGAAUACAUAGGUGCAAGAGGCGAACCAGGGGAACUGAAACAUCUAAGUACCCUGAGGAAAAGAAAUCAACCGAGAUUCCCUUAGUAGUGGCGAGCGAACGGGGACUAGCCCUUAAGUGGCUUUGAGAUUAGCGGAACGCUCUGGAAAGUGCGGCCAUAGUGGGUGAUAGCCCUGUACGCGAAAAUCUCUUAGUCAUGAAAUCGAGUAGGACGGAGCACGAGAAACUUUGUCUGAAUAUGGGGGGACCAUCCUCCAAGGCUAAAUACUACUGACUGACCGAUAGUGAAC